CCUACGGGUGGCAGCAGUGAGGAAUAUUGGUCAAUGGGCGCGAGCCUGAACCAGCCAAGCCGCGUGAGGGAGGAAGGUACAGAGUAUCGUAAACCUCUUUUGUCAGGGAACAAAGGCGGGGACGUGUCCCCGGAUGAGUGUACCUGAAGAAAAAGCAUCGGCUAACUCCGUGCCAGCAGCCGCGGUAAUACGGAGGAUGCGAGCGUUAUCCGGUUUUAUUGGGUUUAAAGGGUGCGCAGGCGGUCUGUUAAGUCAGCGGUCAAAGCCCGGGGCUCAACCCCGGGCCGCCGUUGAAACUGGCAGUCUCGAGUUGGAGAGAAGUAUGCGGAAUGCGCGGUGUAGCGGUGAAAUGCAUAGAUAUCGCGCAGAACUCCGAUUGCGAAGGCAGCAUGCCGGCUCCACACUGACGCUGAGGCACGAAAGCGUGGGUAUCGAACAGGAUUAGAUACCCCAGUAGUC
RNAcentral lists this ribosomal RNA (459 nucleotides) under uncultured bacterium. Its description in RNAcentral is "partial 16S ribosomal RNA". It matches the Rfam family "Bacterial small subunit ribosomal RNA", at positions 338 to 795 of the family's 1533-position model. The record is from RNAcentral.